AUGUGUGGCGAUGCGGCCAAUUGGUUUCAUGCGUAUAAACUGACUCAUCAGUGGCCUAAUUGGCAUGAGUUUCGCUCUGCUGUGAUGUCAGAGUUCGAUGUCAACGUGCACAGACACAAAAUGAAAGAGUUGAUGAUGCUAAAACAGUCAGGGUCGGUGGCAGAGUACAAAAGAGAGUUUAUGCAAUUAACUUACCAGUUGCUGCUGUAUGAAAACACAGUUAGCGACACAUUCCUGGUAACUAGGUUUGUGUUGGGUUUGAGAGAGGAGUUGAGAGCUGCGGUGGAGAUGCAAAUACCAGCGACAGUCAGCGAAGCUGCGAUGUAUGCUGGUAUUCAGGAAGAGGUCUUGGCUAGAAGCAAACAUGUUAAAUGGACAAACCACAAAGCAAUGGGUUCAAAAACUGAUUACAAGGCUCAACCAGUGGCUGCAGGAGAUCUAUGGAAAGCUAGACAGCUGAAAGAGUUUCGAAGGGCUAAUGGUCUUUGUUAUAGUUGUGGAGAAAAAUACACACCAACUCACGUGUGUGCUAAGCACCCGGUUCAGGCAACUGUGCAAGCAUUGCAAUGUGAAGGCCCUACUAUUCUAUCUGAUGAAGUGCUUGAUGCAGUUGAGGAACAGGAAGCAGCCUUACAAGAGAUGCAGCUGUCGGUAAAUGCCAUUUCAGGGGCAGAUCAUCCAAGGACAAUCAGGUUGCGAGCCUUAAUUGGGAAUCAAGUUGUGCUAAUUCUGUUGGAUUCGGGCAGCACUCACAGCUUUAUAGAUAUUGAGAUGUUAGCCCGAGCGCAGCUCACACACCAAGAGUUGAAAACACCACUGCAGGUGAAGGUGGCAAAUGGGGAAAUGCUACAGUGCAAAUCAGUGGUGCCUGAGCUGCACUGGUGGGUUCAGGGCCACACUUUUAGCUACCCAAUGAAAGUACUAGACCUAGGAGGAUAUGAUAUGAUCCUGGGGAUGGAUUGGCUAGAGCAAUGGGGUGAAAUGACUUGUCAGUGGAAAGAAAAAUGGGUGAGGUUCCAAUUUCAAGACCAGCUCAUAACCUUGCAAGGCUUGUUACCUCCAGCCAACCCGGUGUUACAAGAAGUAUCAGUUGAGCAAGCCAUGAGAUGGCACACUGGUAAUGACAUUUGGGCAACUGCUUUGAUCACUCCUGUGAUGUCAAAAACACCAAAUGAAAUUCCGAAUGAGGUGCAAGUAGUGAUACAAGAAUUUGCGGAUGUGUUCCAAGAUCCUAAAACAUUACCCCCUUCAAGACCCCUAGAUCAUGCCAUACACCUGGUACCUGGGGCUCUUCCAGUGAAUGUAAGACCUUACAGAUACUCUCCUCUUCAAAAGGAUGAAAUUGAAAAACAAGUGGCUGAGAUGCUAGAAGCGGGAUUGAUAACCCCUAGUGUCAGUCCUUUUGCCUCUCCCGUGUUACUGGUAAAAAAGAAAGAUGGCACAUGGAGAUUCUGUGUGGAUUACAGGAAACUUAACUCCAUCACGGUGAAGAGUAGGUUUCCUAUGCCUGUGGUGGAUGAACUAUUAGAUGAGUUGGCAGGCACUAAGUGGUUUACAAAGUUGGAUCUAAGAGCAGGUUACCACCAUAUCAGAAUGGUACCUGAAGAUGAACAUAAAACAGCUUUUCGAACCCAUAAUGGUCAUUAUCAGUUCAAGGUCAUGGCGUUUGGACUUGCUACAGCUCCGGGUACUUUCCAGGGUAACAUGAAUUUGUACUUGUCCAAAGGGAACAAAAAGUAUGUCAUAUCCUUCAUGGAUGACAUCUUGGUGUUCAACCAGUCUCUAGUGGACCAUAUAGCUCACCUGAGAGAAGUGCUGCAAAUUUUGAGAUAA
Molecule: ribosomal RNA, 1833 nt
Filed under: Triticum aestivum (bread wheat)
Lineage: Eukaryota; Viridiplantae; Streptophyta; Magnoliopsida; Poales; Poaceae
Description: partial small subunit ribosomal RNA
Source: RNAcentral